ACACACGUUUUUAUUUUUCUACUUUCGCGCCACAUGACAUGCGUGUUGGAGUCUGAGGCAAGCUGGUUACCGCUGGCAAAUUUUAACAAUCGUUUUAAUAUAAGUCAAAGCCGAAUGACUAGACUUUUUAAGGAGCUCGUCAUUAACUAGCGAAGUAUCGCAUGGAAAUUGAUUUGAGGGCCUUGCUACAAACGUUACUAGCUAACGUUAGUCUCACAAUCUCAAGUCAUAUAAGACGUGGCCAUAAACCAUUUAACGUUAGCUAGAUAUGCUAAAAGUAAACAAAGUGUGCCAGUGUGACCCCAGGUGAAUGCUUAACUCACUUUUCUUCUCACCCUUUUUGUUUCAUGGUGGUUAGACAGUUUUAUAAUCGUUUGGUGAAAUGGUAUCUCCGAGAGCUGACAGAGGGAUAACCUGUAACCAUGCGACCACUGUGGCCCCUCGAUGCUUGUGGUUUGUGUUGUACGGAAUUGAAGCGUGACAGAAAUCAACUUCUACCAUGCCUACAUUCUGUGUGUCAGGGGUGUGUUCCCCUAAGUGAUUUCAAGACAGAAUGUCCGGUCUGUGGAAGGCAAUACACUUCUUCCGAAAUCAUUGACAAUCCUUUCCUCCCUAGCUUCCCCACUGAUUCAAAACCCUGGUGUGGGGGUUGUGGUGAGCCUGUGGUCUGUGGCUGGUGUGUAGAAUGUGGCGAACCGCUCUGCUCUGACUGUUGCAGCCCACAAGAGGGUGAAGUUAACACGCAACCAUAAUGUCCUACCCCAAUAACCUCCAGGUACCAGUUUGCCCAGGACGCUUUACCAGAGCAGAGGAAAUGCUUACAGUAUCUAAUCGAGACUGUGCGGAUGCAGAGAGGGACUGUGCAACAGAACCUACAGGACCUGGAUGGGCGGCUGUCUGACUUGGAGGAUCUGCAGGAGAGGGCAUCAGGAGAGG
Molecule: long non-coding RNA, 936 nt
Organism: Oncorhynchus keta (chum salmon)
Lineage: Eukaryota; Metazoa; Chordata; Actinopteri; Salmoniformes; Salmonidae
Exons: 5
Source: RefSeq, a predicted model, not a curated record